Molecule: unclassified non-coding RNA, 180 nt
Filed under: uncultured Helicosporium
Lineage: Eukaryota; Fungi; Ascomycota; Dothideomycetes; Tubeufiales; Tubeufiaceae
Description: sequence contains ITS1
Source: RNAcentral
CCGAGUUCUGAGGUCUCCAUUCGAGCCUCAACUCCCACACCAUGUGUACCUUACCUUCUGUUGCUUCGGCGAGCCGCCCUGAAAAGGGCGCCAACCCCUCCGCGGGUUGGAGCGUCUGCUCGCCGGAGGACCAUGAAACUCUUACUAAUUGAAUCGUCUGAGUAACGUUUUAAUAAAUUA